UCUCCAGGGGAAUCUUCCUGACCCAGGGAUUGAACCCAGGUCUCCUGCAUUGUAGGCACGUUCUUUACCACCAGGGAAGCCCUAAAAGGACUCUAUGUAUAUGAACUCAUCUUAUGUAACCAAGGAAUGUGUGAUAAGAGUCCAGCUGGCUUACAACUUCGUUUCAGCCUUGUGAUACCCUGAGAAGAGCCCAGCUUAGCCUGCCAGGACCCCUGACCUACACAAGGCUGUGAGUGUUGUGAACACUGCAUUCCCUGAAACCACUGAAGAACAAAGCACUGCAUUCAAGCCUAAGGGGAGGGUGGAGGUUACAGAUCCAGCCAUCCGUCUUUCUUCUUCUCCUCAGAGGCCUUUGGGUAGUCCUCUCACGCAUGACUCUGGGCUUGGCCACGUGACUGUUCACUGAUGGAACAUCAUAAGAUGUGAUGCAGGCAGUCAUUUUGUGCCCUGAAACGUUCUUUCUUGCUGCUGGAGACUCUGCAUCCAUCGAAGAAGCUCAGGACAGCCUGCUGGGGACAUGGCCCAGCUGAAAACAACAUAUGCCAGGGAUGGACAUACAAGAUUCAAGUUGACAUCUACCUGUCUUCACUGAGCAUUACUUUACUAGUGUGUGAGAUGAGUGCAAUUGUGCGGUAGUUUGAGCAUUCUUUGGCAUUGCCUUUCUUUGGUAAUGGAAUGAAAACUGACUUUUUCCAGUCCUGUGGCCACUGCUGAAUUUUCCAAAUUUGCUGGCAUAUUGAGUGCAGCACUUUCACAGAAUGAUCUUUCAGGAUUUGAAAUAGCUCCACUGGAAUUCCAUCACCUCCACUAGCUUUGUUCGUAGUGAUGCUUUCUAAGGCCCACUUGACUUCACAUUCCAGGAUGUCUGACUCUAGGUGAGUGAUCACACCAUCGUGAUUAUCUGGGUUGUGAAGCUCUUUUGUGCACAGUUCUUCUGUGUACUCUUGCCACCUCUUCUUAAUAUCUUGCUUCUGUUAGGUCCAUACCAUUUCUGUCCUUUAUUGAGCCCAUCUUUGCAUGAAAUGUUCCCUUGAUAUCUUUAAUUUUCUUGAAGAGAUCUCUAGUUUUUCCCAUUCUGUUGUUUUCCUCUAUUUCUUUGCAUUGAUCGCUGAGGAAGGCUUUCUUAUCUCUUCUUGCUAUUCUUUGGAACUCUGCAUUCAGAUGCUUAUAUCUUUCCUUUUCUCCUUUGCUUUUCACGUCUCUUGUUUUCACAGCUAUUUGUAAGGCCUCCCCAGACAACCAUUUUGCUUUUUUGCAUUUUUUUUUCCCAUGGGGAUGGUCUUGAUCCCUGUCUCC
Molecule: long non-coding RNA, 1296 nt
Organism: Bos taurus (domestic cattle)
Lineage: Eukaryota; Metazoa; Chordata; Mammalia; Artiodactyla; Bovidae
Source: Ensembl